Molecule: ribosomal RNA, 215 nt
Filed under: uncultured bacterium
Lineage: Bacteria
Description: partial 16S ribosomal RNA
Rfam family: Bacterial small subunit ribosomal RNA
Source: RNAcentral
UACGUAGGGGGCAAGCGUUGUCCGGAAUUAUUGGGCGUAAAGAGCGUGUAGGCGGCCAGAUAAGUCCGCUGUGAAAUCUCGAGGCUCAACUUCGAGCUGUCGGUGGAAACUAUCUGGCUAGAGUCCGGAAGAGGAGAAUGGAAUUCCUGGUGUAGCGGUGAAAUGCGCAGAUAUCAGGAAGAACACCCGUGGCGAAGGCGGUUCUCUGGGCGAUG